UACGUAAGGGGCAAGCGUUAUCCGGAUUUACUGGGUGUAAAGGGAGCGUAGACGGCAGAGCAAGUCUGAUGUGAAAGGCAGGGGCUCAACCCCUGGACUGCAUUGGAAACUGUUCGGCUUGAGUGCCGGAGAGGUAAGCGGAAUUCCUAGUGUAGCGGUGAAAUGCGUAGAUAUUAGGAGGAACACCAGUGGCGAAGGCGGCUUACUGGACGGCAACUGACGUUGAGGCUCGAAAGCGUGGGGAGCAAACAGG
RNAcentral lists this ribosomal RNA (253 nucleotides) under uncultured bacterium. RNAcentral describes it as "partial 16S ribosomal RNA". It matches the Rfam family "Bacterial small subunit ribosomal RNA", at positions 524 to 776 of the family's 1533-position model. The record is from RNAcentral.